UUGAUUUAUUCAAUAUGGACUCGGACGCAACGAUGCAGGGUUGGACGGUCCACCGGGGGCCCCCCGCCGUGAGGCCGGGUCACCCCCGAGGCAACUAGGUCGGAUAACAUGGGGUUGGAGGUCGGGCCCGGAGGCCCUUCACUCGGUAAUGAUCCCUCCGCAGGUUCACCUACGGAGA
RNAcentral lists this unclassified non-coding RNA (178 nucleotides) under uncultured fungus. RNAcentral describes it as "sequence contains ITS1". Lineage: Eukaryota; Fungi. The record is from RNAcentral.